UAGUGACCAUUAUCAACGCAAGCAAAAUUCAGCGAGUCUCCUAUUCGGGAAACAAUAGAAUUACAGUAGCAAGUGAAUUGAGAUAGUUGAUUUCUACAACAAGUUUCAAAGUUGUCUUCAAUUGUCCAAUAGUCAAAUACAAAAAAGUUGCUGGUAGAGGGAAGGCGACGAAGAAGUUCAAAAAUUUUUUCCUCGUUGGGGUCAAUAGUAAGAAUAGUGUA
Molecule: non-coding RNA, 221 nt
Organism: Caenorhabditis elegans
Lineage: Eukaryota; Metazoa; Nematoda; Chromadorea; Rhabditida; Rhabditidae
Source: Ensembl